UUGCUAUCUGAAUGUAGCUGUGCUGCUAAAUAUAUUUAAUAAUUUUUAUUAUUCGUCUUCUUAUCAUUAUGUCAAAGAUGCAAGCCAGUGUUGAAGCCUUCCUCAUUGCCGUGCAACCAGGACAGCCUUCCUCCUGCAUGUUGGUGAAAACAAAAGCAGCACCAAAGACACUUCACCAUCAGUGAUCACAAGAUCAUCCAAGGUAGCUUUUGAUGAACUUCCAAAGCACACUUCACCUUCAGUGCAAAGUACCAUGAAUUCCUCUACAACUUCUGUAAAUUAAUCCAGCCUACAGUUUUCAACAUUGAUGUGACUUGCACAACAAUUGAGGAGUUAAGAUCCUUGCUUUUACUUUACCUGGCAGAGUGGACACUCUAUAUUAUGAUGAUCAUUUAAAUGCAUACUGUAUCAAUAAGAGGAUUUGUUUUAUGUUCUUCCAAUUAAGGACUUGGUUUAUUACAGUCCCUGUGGCAAGCAGCUCUCUGCAUGGUCAGCAUUGAAGGCCAUAUUGUCUUUGAGAGGGUCCAGCCAACAUUCCAGACAGGACAGUGUUAUCCAUCUUCUUCAUCUUCAACCUCCAAUAUCAACAUGAGACGGCCAAGACUUUGGAGUUCAUUCAACGUCGCUUCAUUGGGAUUAACCCAGAAAGGGGCACAAAAGCCGGUCAUGGGAAGAUGGUAUCCAAAAAGACAGGAAAGGCCAUUCAAAGGAAAAAGUGACAGUCAAUGUUCAGGUUUCCACCUUCAUCAAAAAACUGAUGGACUUUGAGUGGCAUCUCAUUUAGGUUAGCUGUUCUUUUCUUUCCUUUGAAAUCUUUCUGUUUCCAUAUUAUUUAGGAUCUAAAUUGUAUUGUCUUUUCUUUUUCCAUGUUUGACGGUGCCUUCAUCUGCAUCUAAUAAAGUGCCACUUGGACUCUUGAAAACCAUUAAUAGUUCACAUUUUAAAACCUUGUUGAUACUAGAAUUCCACAUUAUUUCAGCCAUGUUGAAUUUUAGAUUUUGGAAGUCAUUUUUCUUUGAUUUGUUUAGUGAUACCCACAGCAUGGAUAUUUCUUUAAGAACUGUGUUUUUAUGUUCAUAAGAUUGUAGAAAUUAAUAAGUUAAACCCAGUUUAUGUCACUGUAAACUGAAAGUCUUCAAUUUUUAUUCCAGUGUUAGUGAAACUAUAUAUUGACUUUGAAGGCCUAUUUUUUUACCAGUUCUCUGAGGAAUGGUUUUGUGUUAUUUGUUUUGAACGUUUGAAUAUACUGGAAAUAUGUGGUUUGAGGCAUAGUGGUGCCUUUAAAUAAAAAUUCUGUUCUGAUGGUUA
Molecule: long non-coding RNA, 1308 nt
Organism: Poecilia latipinna (sailfin molly)
Lineage: Eukaryota; Metazoa; Chordata; Actinopteri; Cyprinodontiformes; Poeciliidae
Exons: 2
Source: RefSeq, a predicted model, not a curated record